RNAcentral lists this transfer RNA (73 nucleotides) under Marmota marmota marmota (Alpine marmot). It matches the Rfam family "tRNA". Rfam says of the family: Transfer RNA (tRNA) molecules are approximately 80 nucleotides in length. Their secondary structure includes four short double-helical elements and three loops (D, anti-codon, and T loops). Further hydrogen bonds mediate the characteristic L-shaped molecular structure. tRNAs have two regions of fundamental functional importance: the anti-codon, which is responsible for specific mRNA codon recognition, and the 3' end, to which the tRNAs corresponding amino acid is attached (by aminoacyl-tRNA synthetases). tRNAs cope with the degeneracy of the genetic code in two manners: having more than one tRNA (with a specific anti-codon) for a particular amino acid; and 'wobble' base-pairing, i.e. permitting non-standard base-pairing at the 3rd anti-codon position. Lineage: Eukaryota; Metazoa; Chordata; Mammalia; Rodentia; Sciuridae. RNAcentral also lists the same sequence under 3 other names. The record is from Rfam by way of RNAcentral.
GGGGAUAUAGCUCAGUUGGUAGAGUGCUUGCCUUGCAUGCAUAAGGCCCUGGGUUCAAUCCCCAAUACCACAA